Molecule: small nuclear RNA, 77 nt
Filed under: Mus musculus (house mouse)
Lineage: Eukaryota; Metazoa; Chordata; Mammalia; Rodentia; Muridae
Also listed under: 1 other name
Description: U4 spliceosomal RNA
Rfam family: U4 spliceosomal RNA
About the family: U4 small nuclear RNA (U4 snRNA) is a component of the major U2-dependent spliceosome. The structure of U4 snRNA from yeast and human has been reported.
Source: Rfam by way of RNAcentral
AGCUUUGCACAGUGGCAGUAUCAUAGCCAAUGAGGUUUUUCUGAGGUGCGAUCAUUGCUAAUUGUAAAAAAAGAACA